This 465-nucleotide ribosomal RNA is filed under the name uncultured bacterium. RNAcentral describes it as "partial 16S ribosomal RNA". It matches the Rfam family "Bacterial small subunit ribosomal RNA", at positions 28 to 507 of the family's 1533-position model. The record is from RNAcentral.
GAUGAACGCUGGCGGCGUGCUUAACACAUGCAAGUCGAACGGAAAGGCUCCUGCUUGCCGGGGUACUCGAUUGGCGAACGGGUGAGUAACACGUGGGUGAACUGCCCUGCACUUCGGGAUAAGCCUGGGAAACUGGGUCUAAUACCGGAUAGGACGAUGGUUUGGAUGCCAUUGUGGAAAGUUUUUCGGUGUGGGAUGAGCUCGCGGCCUAUCAGUUUGUUGGUUGGGUAAUGGCCUACCAAGGCGCCGACGGGUAGCCGGCCUGAGAGGGUGUACGGGCACCAUGGGCCUGAGGUAGGGACCAGACUCGUACCGGAGGCAGCAGUGGAGAGUAUUGCGGAGUGAGGGCGAGCCUGAUACAGCGGCGCCGCGUGGGGGAUAAUGGCCUUCGGGUUGUAAACUACUUUGGCUGGGGACGAAGCGCAAGUGACGGUACCUGGAGAGGAAGCACCGGUUAACUACGUG